This 416-nucleotide ribosomal RNA is filed under the name uncultured bacterium. RNAcentral's name for it is "bacterial SSU rRNA". It matches the Rfam family "Bacterial small subunit ribosomal RNA", at positions 355 to 775 of the family's 1533-position model. The record is from RNAcentral.
UCGAGGAUCUUCGGCAAUGGGGGCAACCCUGACCGAGCGACGCCGCGUGUGCGACGAAGGCCUUCGGGUUGUAAAGCACUGUCGAGGGGGAGGAAAGCCCCGCAAGGGGUGUGACCUAUCCCUGGAGGAAGCUCGGGCUAAGUUCGUGCCAGCAGCCGCGGUAAGACGAACCGAGCGAACGUUGUUCGGAAUCACUGGGCUUAAAGGGCGCGUAGGCGGGCUGCCCAGUCUGGGGUGAAAUCCUCCGGCUCAACCGGGGAAGGGCCUCGGAUACUGGCGGCCUCGAGGGGGGUAGGGGCACCUGGAACUGUGGGUGGAGCGGUGAAAUGCGUUGAUAUCCACAGGAACUCCGGUGGCGAAGGCGAGGUGCUGGACCCCAUCUGACGCUGAGGCGCGAAAGCCAGGGGAGCGAACGG